UAGGGAAUCUUCCGCAAUGGACGAAAGUCUGACGGAGCAACGCCGCGUGAGUGAUGAAGGUUUUCGGAUCGUAAAGCUCUGUUGUUAGGGAAGAACAAGUACCGUUCGAAUAGGGCGGUACCUUGACGGUACCUAACCAGAAAGCCACGGCUAACUACGUGCAAGCAGCCGCGGUAAUACGUAGGUGGCAAGCGUUGUCCGGAAUUAUUGGGCGUAAAGGGCUCGCAGGCGGUUUCUUAAGUAGGAGGUGAAAGCCCCCGGCUCAACCGGGGGGGGUCAUUGGAAACUGGGGAACUUGAGUGCAGAAGAGGAGAGUGGAAUUCCACGUGUAGCGGUGAAAUGCGUAGAGAUGUGGAGGAACACCAGUGGCGAAGGCGACUCUCUGGUCUGUAACUGACGCUGAGGAGCGAAAGCGUGGGGAGCGAACA
This 428-nucleotide ribosomal RNA is filed under the name uncultured prokaryote. Its description in RNAcentral is "bacterial SSU rRNA". It matches the Rfam family "Bacterial small subunit ribosomal RNA", at positions 355 to 774 of the family's 1533-position model. The record is from RNAcentral.